RNAcentral lists this transfer RNA (73 nucleotides) under Ktedonobacteraceae bacterium. Its description in RNAcentral is "tRNA-Arg". It matches the Rfam family "tRNA". Rfam says of the family: Transfer RNA (tRNA) molecules are approximately 80 nucleotides in length. Lineage: Bacteria; Bacillati; Chloroflexota; Ktedonobacteria; Ktedonobacterales; Ktedonobacteraceae. The record is from RNAcentral.
GCGCCCAUAGCUCAGUGGAUAGAGCAUCGGUCUUCUAAACCGGUUGUCGCAGGUUCGAAUCCUGCUGGGCGCG